UACGGGGGGAGCAAGCGUUGUUCGGAUUUACUGGGCGUAAAGGGCGCGUAGGCGGUCAGCACAAGUCAGUUGUGAAAUCUCCGGGCUUAACUCGGAAAGGUCAACUGAUACUGUGCGACUAGAGUGCAGAAGGGGCAACUGGAAUUCUCGGUGUAGCGGUGAAAUGCGUAGAUAUCGGGAGGAACACCAGUGGCGAAGGCGACUUCCUGGCCUGUUCUUGACGCUGAGGCGCGAAAGCUAGGGGAGCAAACGGGGA
RNAcentral lists this ribosomal RNA (256 nucleotides) under uncultured bacterium. Its description in RNAcentral is "partial 16S ribosomal RNA". It matches the Rfam family "Bacterial small subunit ribosomal RNA", at positions 524 to 778 of the family's 1533-position model. The record is from RNAcentral.